GGCUUCCGGAGCUAACGCGUUAAGUCGACCGCUGGGGAGUACGGCCGCAAGGUUAAACUCAAAUGAAUUGACGGGGGCCCGCACAAGCGGUGGGCAGUGGUUUAAUUCGAUGCAACGCGAAGAACUUACCUGGUCUUGACAUCCAGGUGCUGCAUGGCUGUCGUCAGCUCGUGUUGUGAAAUGUUGGGUUAAGUCCCGCAACGAGCGCAACCCUUAUCCUUUGUUGCAACUCAAAGGAGACUGCCAGUGAUAAACUGGAGGAAGGUGGGGAUGACGUCAAGUCAUCAUGGCCCUUACGACCAGGGCUACACACGUGCUACAAUGGCGCAUACAAAGAGAAGCGACCUCGCGAGAGCAAGCGGACCUCAUAAAGUGCGUCGUAGUCCGGAUUGGAGUCUGCAACUCGACUCCAUGAAGUCGGAAUCGCUAGUAAUCGUGGAUCAGAUGCCACGGUGAAUACGUUCCCGGGCCUUGUACACACCGCCCGUCACACCAUGGGAGUGGGUUGCAAAAGAAGUAGGUUACCACUUUGUGAUUCAUGACUGGGGUGUGUGUAACAAGGAACCGAGGG
This 571-nucleotide ribosomal RNA is filed under the name uncultured bacterium. RNAcentral's name for it is "bacterial SSU rRNA". It matches the Rfam family "Bacterial small subunit ribosomal RNA", at positions 841 to 1505 of the family's 1533-position model. The record is from RNAcentral.